CACGUAGGGUGCGAGCGUUGUCCGGAAUUAUUGGGCGUAAAGAGCUCGUAGGCGGUGUGUCGCGUCGGCCGUGAAAACCUGCAGCUUAACUGUGGGCUUGCGGUCGAUACGGGCAUCACUGGAGUUCGGCAGGGGAGACUGGAAUUCCUGGUGUAGCGGUGAAAUGCGCAGAUAUCAGGAGGAACACCGGUGGCGAAGGCGGGUCUCUGGACAGUUCCUGACGCUGAGGCACGAAGGCCAGGGGAGCAAACAGG
RNAcentral lists this ribosomal RNA (254 nucleotides) under uncultured bacterium. RNAcentral describes it as "partial 16S ribosomal RNA". It matches the Rfam family "Bacterial small subunit ribosomal RNA", at positions 524 to 776 of the family's 1533-position model. The record is from RNAcentral.